This 375-nucleotide long non-coding RNA is filed under the name Elaeis guineensis (African oil palm). RNAcentral's name for it is "long non-coding RNA (EGUI_LNC050047)". The record is from RNAcentral. Lineage: Eukaryota; Viridiplantae; Streptophyta; Magnoliopsida; Arecales; Arecaceae.
AAACUCAAACAGUUCCUUAUCUCAUCCUUAUCUUUUAUGAUCGGUAACAAUUAAAAGGAUUUUGUUUUUGUGUGCCGAUCCUAAGAGAGAAAUUCUACCAUGAGAUCCUAGAAAUGAGAGGGGUUGAACCUUAGUUUGGGGGUGUGAGAUCUAGGGUGGGUUGCCAUCCUUUGGUGUGAGAGCUUAGAAGAGAACCGUCUAUUCUUUGGUGAGUGUACUAGCCCUAAGCAUUAGAGUUUUUGGAAGAGAGAGUUAAGAUCAGAGAAAAGUUAUUUUCUCUAAUUUUCUUCUAAUGACUAGCAACCUCCGUCGAUCUAUUUUCAACCUCGAAAGGAUCCGAGAUGAUUUCAGAAGAAGAUCAAAUCAGAUCAGCCA